Molecule: ribosomal RNA, 449 nt
Filed under: Epistocavea mururoa
Lineage: Eukaryota; Metazoa; Arthropoda; Malacostraca; Decapoda; Xanthidae
Description: partial 12S small subunit ribosomal RNA
Source: RNAcentral
AAAGGUGAAAUUAGAUUAUUUCUUUUAAUAUAGAAACUUUAAUUGAAGCUAAUAAUUUUUAGGCUUAAACUAGGAUUAGAUACCCUAUUAUACUGAUAAGGACAAGAAAAGCUCGGAUUACUAAUAGUUAUAUUCUUGAAAUUUAAAGAAUUUGGCGGUGAUUUAGUCUUGUUAGAGGAACCUGUUUUUGAAUCGAUAUUCCACGUAAAAUCUUACUCAAGUUUAUAUACCGUCAUUAUCAGAUAAUUUUUAAAAAAUUAAUUAUUAAAUUUUAAAAGAGAUUAAGUAAAAUUAGAUCCAGGUGUAGCUUAUAAGUGAGUUAAAAUGGGUUACAAUAAAAUUUAUUUAAUACGGAGUAAUUAUUAAUGAAGGAGGAUUUAAUUGUAUACAAGUUUAAUAAGCUUAAAAGAUAUAAGCUCUAAAUCAUGUACAUAUCGCCCGUCGCUUUC